GAUUGAACGCUGGCGGCAUGCCUUACACAUGCAAGUCGAACGGCAGCACGGGAGCAAUCCUGGUGGCGAGUGGCGAACGGGUGAGUAAUGUAUCGGAACGUACCUUUCAGUGGGGGAUAACGUAGCGAAAGUUACGCUAAUACCGCAUAUUCUGUGCGCAGGAAAGCAGGGGAUCGCAAGACCUUGCGCUGAUUGAGCGGCCGAUAUCAGAUUAGCUAGUUGGUGAGGUAAAGGCUCACCAAGGCGACGAUCUGUAGCGGGUCUGAGAGGAUGAUCCGCCACACUGGAACUGAGACACGGUCCAGACUCCUACGGGAGGCAGCAGUGGGGAAUUUUGGACAAUGGGGGCAACCCUGAUCCAGCCAUGCCGCGUGAGUGAAGAAGGCCUUCGGGUUGUAAAGCUCUUUCGGCCGGGAAGAAAUCGCAUGGGUUAAUACCCUGUGCGGAUGACGGUACCGGCAUAAGAAGCACCGGCUAACUACGUGCCAGCAGCCGCGGUAAUACGUAGGGUGCGAGCGUUAAUCGGAAUUACUGGGCGUAAAGCGUGCGCAGGCGGUUUUGUAAGACAGGCGUGAAAUCCCCGGGCUCAACCUGGGAGCUGCGCUUGUGACUGCAAGGCUAGAGUAUGGCAGNNGGGGGGUGGAAUUCCACGUGUAGCAGUGAAAUGCGUAGAGAUGUGGAGGAACACCAAUGGCGAAGGCAGCCCCCUGGGCCAAUACUGACGCUCAUGCACGAAAGCGUGGGUAGCAAACAGGAUUAGAUACCCUGGUAGUCCACGCCCUAAACGAUGUCAACUAGGUGUUGGGUGGGUAAAACCAUUUAGUACCGGAGCUAACGCGUGAAGUUGACCGCCUGGGGAGUACGGCCGCAAGGUUAAAACUCAAAGGAAUUGACGGGGACCCGCACAAGCGGUGGAUGAUGUGGAUUAAUUCGAUGCAACGCGAAAAACCUUACCUACCCUUGACAUGUCCAGGAGCCUGAAGAGAUUUGGGUGUGCCCGAAAGGGAACUGGAACACAGGUGCUGCAUGGCUGUCGUCAGCUCGUGUCGUGAGAUGUUGGGUUAAGUCCCGCAACGAGCGCAACCCUUGUCGUUAAUUGCCAUCAUUCAGUUGGGCACUUUAACGAGACUGCCGGUGACAAACCGGAGGAAGGUGGGGAUGACGUCAAGUCCUCAUGGCCCUUAUGGGUAGGGCUUCACACGUCAUACAAUGGUCGGUACAAAGGGUCGCCAACCCGCGAGGGGGAGCCAAUCCCAGAAAGCCGAUCGUAGUCCGGAUCGUAGGCUGCAACUCGCCUGCGUGAAGUCGGAAUCGCUAGUAAUCGUGGAUCAGCAUGUCACGGUGAAUACGUUCCCGGGUC
This 1360-nucleotide ribosomal RNA is filed under the name uncultured soil bacterium. RNAcentral describes it as "bacterial SSU rRNA". It matches the Rfam family "Bacterial small subunit ribosomal RNA", at positions 27 to 1380 of the family's 1533-position model. The record is from RNAcentral.